CUACUUACCUGUUAAAAUUUCCUGUGCACUAAUCUUUAAAAUCUAGAGAUAGAUAUUAAGUAGGUUAAGUGACAUUUUAAAUCAGCCUAUGAACAUUUGACAACAGAAUCGUUUUUAGAAUCUUGAUUGUGGAUUCACUGUUGGGCUUAAUUAACUGCUUCUCCGUAGUUGGUUUUGGGUGUCAACUCGACUGCGUUAAGGGAUACUUGUCUGGGAAAGCAUUAUUUACUCUCCAUGCUUCAGUAGAUAAUGAGCCCUUCCCUCUUCUGGUGAAAGGGAAACACAGGUGGUUUGGCAUUUGAUUAGAAUAAUUGGGCUGCCCCAGGUGUGUCCCUGAGGGUGCUUUUGAGGGAAGCUUGGACUAAAUGAGGAAGAUCCGCCCUCCACGUGGGCAGGCACGAUCCAAUCAGCUGGAGGCCCCAAAUAGAACAAAAAAGGCGGAUAAAGGACGAAGUCUCCACAGAGGAGAGCUGUGCUUGUAGAUAGACAAGAGCUCCAGGUUCUCCGGCUUUUGGCUCCAGGACUCACACCAGUGUGCCACCAGGCUCUCUUUAGUUUUGGACUGAGAUUACACCAUAGAAUUCCCUGGUUCUGAGGUCUUCGAAUUCAGGCUGAGCCAUGCUACAGGCUUUCCAGGUUCUUCAGUAUCCAGAAGGUCUGUUGUGGGACUUCUCAGCCUCCAUAAGCAAGACUGAAGACAUGGAAUACAUUUGCUGGGUGUAAAUAGUUAAAGACAUCGCUGCUUUCAACUGGUGUCAACAUUUGGGUUGCUUCCAGUUUUGGCAAUUACUGUCACUAACAUUCACGUGUAACACUCAUUUUUAUUCGCCGGGAAUAAAUACUUGGAAGAGGAAUGGCUGGAUCAUAUGCUGGUCAGCUCAGGAUGGCCAAAGUAAUGUUUGAGCCAGCCAUAUCCGGGUGGCUGUAACUUUUCACUCCAAUGCAGUGUGAUGACUAUAGGGAAACCUGAAAAGAAUAUCUUUCACCUCUAAGAACAUCUGGCCUGGGAGAUUAUCAGGAGGCCAUGGAAGCCUAAAAUCUGGAAAUAAUGUCCGGAAUCAUGAACAUAAGAAACAAAAUCAUGAGAUGCUUCUUUUGGAUAUACCUCACACCUAAUCCAUUUUGCAAUAGCUGAUGUUUGUCCUGGUGUGGUUAGGUGAGUUAUCCAUGGAAAACUAAAAUUUCCCUCCAAUUACAUAGUAGGUCAUUUAAUUCUAAGUAGUGAAUUCAGGGCCAUAACUAUAUAUUUUAAUAGAAAUGAGAACAUAAAUGAAAAUACCUUAUGAUACUGCAGCAAUGAAAAAAUCCUAUCUGAUUGUUUCAUCAACAGAGUAAAUACUUUGUUUAACUAGACUGGAACCAAUGACAACAAACAGAGCUUCUGGCAAUGCUUGGUAAUGAGCUAUCAUGUUAACUGGUGUUGGGGGGGUCCAAUUAAUUUAAAAAGCAUCUCUAUUAUGGCCAAUUCUUUAAAGAAAUGAUUCUAAGAGAUAACUGCCAUCACUAGGGAGUAAAGUCCCACACUGCUUUAGACUUAAAUUUUAAGCACCUUUUAGUCCUAGACAGUUAACCAGGAAUCCUUCCAAGUGCCUUACCUUCAAUAGACAGAUGCUCAAAAGUACUUGUUGAAUGACACGCUCUUUCCAAAAUGGAAGAAAGAAAAUUGAAACAUAAACAAAUAUCAAGCAUACGAAGGCACUCAGGUCUAUUUAAGUAAAACCACGCCAACCAAGAACCAGCAUCAAAAGCUUGGGCAUCUAUUUGUCAUAAAUACCCAGCUAUGAAUUGGAUGGCUACAUCCAGAACUUAAUUCUUUCCGGUGUCACUCCAUGAUCAUACUAUAUUUCUAGUCCUGUAUGCUUUUAUUCUCUAGGCAAUUUCAUCCAUUGGCCCCUCUCCUCAAAAGCUGAGCAUCUCCUUCCCUGCUUUGAUUCACUGUGUUUAUGCUUCACAGAACAGAAUUUUUUCCACCAGCUUCUAACCCCACCUACCCACACCUAUGCCUGCUCUGUUUUUCCUUCUGCUAAUGUGAAGGAGCUGCUCAUGUUCAGUUCCAUAAGCUCUUCAAGUUCCACUUGUGGUCUAGAGCUUCUCUACUGUGCCUUAUUCAAGAAUAUCAUUCCAGCAAUCCCCAAGUCCACCCUGAAGCAACAUUUCUUCCUCUCUACUGGAUUAUCCCCAUCUAUAUACUAAUGAUGUGCUGUUAUUUCUCCCAGCAUUAAAUUGCAUUUAUGGACCCCACUUUUCGCAUGAUCUAAAAUAUGACUUCCCUGCUUCUCUAUAGUUUUGGAUGUCUACAUCAUUUCUAAGAACAGUGAAUUAUUAACUUCUUUUGUUCCACAUUUAGAGGCUCUAUCUUUGGUCCCUGUAAAUAAAUGUGUUCUUUCUUGCCACUUUGAGUUGUAUGAGGGAUGCAUAUAGCAGUAGAAAGUUAAGUGUAUAAAAUGCUACAGUAACCAAAUACUGAUACUGGUACAAAACAAGUAGGUAGACCAAUGAAACAGAAUAGAAAGCCCAGAAAUAAGGCUGCAACUGUAUGACCAUCUAAUAUUUGACAAAACUGACAAAAACAAGGAAUGGGGAAAAGAUGCCAUAUGCAGAAGAUUGAAGCUGGACCCCUUCCUUACAUUAUAUACAAAAAUCAACUCAAGAUGGAUUAAUGACUUCAAUGUAAAAUCUCAAAAUAUAUAAUCAAUAAAUAAAACCCUGUAAGACAACCUAGGCAAUGCCAUCCUGGACUUAGGAACUGGCAAAGAUUUCAUGAUGAAGACACUAUAGGCAAUCAGAACAAAAGCAAAAACGGACAACUGGGUUCUUAUUAAACUUAAAAGCUUCUGCACAGUAAAAUAAACUAUCAACAGAGUAAACAGAAAACCUACAAAAUGAAUGAAAAUAUUUACAAACUAAGCAUCUGACAAAAGUGUAAUAUCCAGCUCCUAUAAGAAACUAAAUUUACAAGAGAAAAACAAUCCCAAUACAAAGUAGGCAAAGGGGCCAGUUGCAGUGGCUCAUCCCUUUAAUCUCAGCACUUUGGGAAGGUAAGACGGGUAGAUCACCUGAGGUUGGGAGUUUGACACCAGCCUGACCAACAUGGAGAAACCCUGUCUCUACUAAAAAUACAAAAAUAGCCGGUGGCACAUGCCUGUAAUCCCAGCUACUCAGGCGGCUGAGGCAGGAGAAUCACCUGAACCCAGGAGGCAGACGUUGUGGUGAGCUGAGAUUGCGCCAUUGCAUUCCAACCUGGGCAACAAGAGCAAAACUGCAUCUCAAAAAAAAAAAAAAAAAAAAAGAAAUGGGUAAAGGACAAGGACAGACACUUCUCAAAAGAAGACCUAAAAACAACCAACAAGUAUAUGAUAAAAAACUCAAUAUCACUGAUUGUUGGAGAAAUGCAAAUCAAAACCUCAAUGAGAUAUCAUCUCACACCAGUCAGAAUGGCUAUUAUUAAAAAGUCAAAAAAUAACAGAUGCUGGCAAGGUUGCAGAAAAAAGGGAAUCCUUAUACACCGUUGGUGGGAGUGUAAAUCAGUUUGCUUUUGUGGAAAGGGAUUCCUCAAGAAGCUAAAAGCAGAUUUACUAUUUGACCUAGCAAUCCUAUUACUGGGCAUAUACAUGGAGGAAUAUAAAUCAUUUUACCAUAAAUACACAUGCACAUGAACAUUCAUUGCAGCACUAUUCAUAAAAGCAAACACAUGGAAUCAACCUAAAUGCCCGUCUGUGACAGAGUGGAUAAAGAAAACGUGGUACAUACACAUCAUAGAAUACUAUGCAACCAUAAAACGAAUGAGAUCAUAUUUUUAGCCAGAACAUGGAUAGAGCUGGAGGCUAUUAUCCUUAGCAAACUAAUGCAGAAACAGAAAACAAAAUAUUGUGUGUUCUCACUUUUAAGUGGAAGCGAAAUAAGAAGAACUUAUGAACACAAAAAGGAAACAACAGACACUGGGGUCUACUUGGGAGGGUGACAGGAGAGAGAGGAACAGAAAAAGUAACUACUGGGUACUAAGCUUAUUUCCUGAGCAAUGAAAUAAAAUGUACAGCAAACCCCUAUGAUAACUUGUUUAUGUAAAAAAAAAAAAGAAAGCUUCACAUAUACCCCUAAACCUAAAAGAAAAGUUAAGUGCUCAUAAGCUCUGUGAGUCUACUGAAAUGAUCAUGCAUGAGAGGCCAUCCUCAAUCAGUCACCCCUCAAUUUUCUCUGUGCAGCAGUGGCUAUUUACUUUGGAUACAAGAUAAAAUUUAUGUAAGUGGUUGAGACUAGUCUUCGGAACACAAGUUUCACACACAAAAAAAUAAUGAAACUAUAAAUAUUUGUGUUUUUUCCAAGGCAAAGAGUAGUUUUGUCCUAAGAUAACAUUAAUCAGUAUUUUUUUUUUGCUUCUGUUUUGUUUUGGUCUUCUUAACACUCUUAAACCACUUUAUACUUUUCACAUACCUUACUCUCAAAACUUGUUGAAGACUCCAAAGAGGUUUUACUUCUAUGUUGUAAAUAUCAGUACUCACUGUUGGAAACUGAAACAGAACCACUAUUACAAUGCUUUUAUAAUGACGCAAGGGAAGGUAGCAAAGAUAAAAGCAUUGCAUAUUAAUAACAUCUCGGUAAUAGGAUAAAGUUAGUUCUGGUCUCAUGGACCUCCUGAGAUCUGUCCUAAAAUCAAAUGUCAGUUUGUUCCAGAAUAUGAAAGAGAGGAACCACAGAUACAAUUGGAAAGUAGAACUUAUUUCCCUUGGAUUUUAUAAUACCUGAAUCUGGAAAUCUAUAAAACCUGUUAAAAUCUGAGCAAAGCUAUCUCAAUUUUGAUGAGUUUAUUUUCUUUGUUUAGUAAUACUUCAUGUGCAAUAUAAAGUGUUAACAUUUUUGUUGUGUGUAAUCUGUCUAGAUAAUGAAGAUUCUGUUCUCAGCAGA
Callithrix jacchus (white-tufted-ear marmoset) is the source of this 4902-nucleotide long non-coding RNA. RefSeq lists it as uncharacterized. Lineage: Eukaryota; Metazoa; Chordata; Mammalia; Primates; Cebidae. The record is from RefSeq and is a predicted model, not a curated record.